RNAcentral lists this ribosomal RNA (497 nucleotides) under uncultured bacterium. RNAcentral's name for it is "partial 16S ribosomal RNA". It matches the Rfam family "Bacterial small subunit ribosomal RNA", at positions 28 to 507 of the family's 1533-position model. The record is from RNAcentral.
GAUGAACGCUGGCGGCGUGCCUAAUACAUGCAAGUCGAGCGAACGGACGAGAAGCUUGCUUCUCUGAUGUUAGCGGCGGACGGGUGAGUAACACGUGGAUAACCUCCCUAUAAGACUGGGAUAACUUCGGGAAACCGGAGCUAAUACCGGAUAAUAUUUUGAACCGCAUGGUUCAAAAGUGAAAGACGGUCUUGCUGUCACUUAUAGAUGGAUCCGCGCUGCAUUAGCUAGUUGGUAAGGUAACGGCUUACCAAGGCAACGAUGCAUAGCCGACCUGAGAGGGUGAUCGGCCACACUGGAACUGAGACACGGUCCAGACUACUACGGGAGGCAGCAGUAGGGAAUCUUCCGCAAUGGGCGAAAGCCUGGCGGAGCAACGCCGCGUGAGUGAUGAAGGUCUUCGGAUCGUAAAACUCUGUUAUUAGGGAAGAACAUAUGUGUAAGUAACUGUGCACAGCUUGACGGUACCUAAUCAGAAAGCCACGGCUAACUACGUG